Molecule: ribosomal RNA, 478 nt
Filed under: uncultured bacterium
Lineage: Bacteria
Description: bacterial SSU rRNA
Rfam family: Bacterial small subunit ribosomal RNA
Source: RNAcentral
UUUUGCGGCGGGCUUAACACAUGCAAGUCGAACGGGCUGUUCCUUCGGGGGCAGUCAGUGGCGCACGGGUGCGUAACACGUAGGUAAUCAACCCUCUGGUUGGGGAUAACACUUCGAAAGGAGUGCUAAUACCCGGUAUGGCGCAGCGGUCUUCGGAUCGCGGCGAGAAAGGCCCGCAAGGGUCGCCAACGGACGGGUCCGCGUCCCAUCAGCUAGUUGGUGAGGUAAUGGCUCACCAAGGCAAAGACGGGUAGCUGGUCUGAGAGGAUGAUCAGCCACACUGGAACUGAGACACGGUCCAGACUCCUACGGGAGGCAGCAGUGGGGAAUAUUGCGCAAUGGGCGAAAGCCUGACGCAGCCACGCCGCGUGAGCGAUGAAGGUCUUCGGAUCGUAAAGCUCUGUGGGGGGAGAAGAAGAAAGCCGGUGAAGAGCCGGCCCUGACGGUAUCCCCUUAGCAAGCACCGGCUAACUCCGUG